CAGAGGAGUUAAACACUACUAAUAUCUGGAGCUUGACUUUUAUAUAUAUCUGACUCCAGAGCGUGAGUUUUAACUACUAUAUUAUUCAAAGUAAGCUAUAUGCUAACAAGUGUAUGUAAAUGUUCAGAAGAAAAUAAUGGACACCACAAAUUAAUCAGCUGGGAAGAGCUUCAAGGAUGUAAGGAAGCCAAGAUCUUCAAGGGUCCAAAUAUAGUAGUUCCCCCUUUAUCUGUGCUCUUGUUUUCUGUAAUUUCAGUUAUCAGGAAAUAUUAAAUAUCAGGAAAUAUUAAAUGAGAAAUCCAUAAAUUUUUGAUUGUAUACUAUUCUGGGUAAUGUGAUGAAAUCUUAUCCUGCUUCACUGCCCUGCCUAGGAAGUGCUUUGCCCAGCGCAUCCAUGCUACCUACUUGUUAGUCACUUAGUAGCUCUCUGGCUAUCAGAUCAACAAUACUGGUACUCAGUGCUCAUAUUCAAGUAAAACUUACUUAAUAAGGGACCCAAAGAACAAAAGUAGUGAUGCUGGCAAUUCAGAUAUUCCAAGAGAAGCCAUAAAGUGCUUCCUUUAAGUGCAAGUUUAUCAUAGGUAGGUACAUAUAGGGGGGAAAAAAGUAGUAUAUAUAGGGUUUAGCACAUUCAGUAGUUUUAGCUAUCCCCUGAGGGUCUUGGAGCAUAAAAGGUAAAGGGGAUUUUACCUUUUAUACAGAUAAAGUGGACUGCUGACUGUGUUCAUCAUGUAGCAGAGGCUGGCUCCCUGGGCUUGCAUCCCUUUUCCUCCAUGUUCUCAUUGUGUGGUCUUGAGCAAAUUUCUAAUCCUUCUGUGCCUUUAUUU
This 827-nucleotide long non-coding RNA is filed under the name Marmota monax (woodchuck). The record is from RNAcentral. Lineage: Eukaryota; Metazoa; Chordata; Mammalia; Rodentia; Sciuridae.